GAUAAACGCUGGCGGCGUGCCUAAUACAUGCAAGUCGAGCGAACGGACGAGAAGCUUGCUUCUCUGAUGUUAGCGGCGGACGGGUGAGUAACACGUGGAUAACCUACCUAUAAGACUGGGAUAACUUCGGGAAACCGGAGCUAAUACCGGAUAAUAUUUUGAACCGCAUGGUUCAAAAGUGAAAGACGGUCUUGCUGUCACUUAUAGAUGGAUCCGCGCUGCAUUAGCUAGUUGGUAAGGUAACGGCUUACCAAGGCAACGAUGCAUAGCCGACCUGAGAGGGUGAUCGGCCACACUGGAACUGAGACACGGUCCAGACUCCUACGGGAGGCAGCAGUAGGGAAUCUUCCGCAAUGGGCGAAAGCCUGACGGAGCAACGCCGCGUGAGUGAUGAAGGUCUUCGGAUCGUAAAACUCUGUUAUUAGGGAAGAACAUAUGUGUAAGUAACUGUGCACAUCUUGACGGUACCCUAUCAGAAAGCCACGGCUAACUACGUGCCAGCAGCCGCGGUAAUACGUAGGUGGCAAGCGUUAUCCGGAAUUAUUGGGCGUNAAGCGCGCGUAGGCGGUUUUUUAAGUCUGAUGUGAAAGCCCACGGCUCAACCGUGGAGGGUCAUUGGAAACUGGAAAACUUGAGUGCAGAAGAGGAAAGUGGAAUUCCAUGUGUAGCGGUGAAAUGCGCAGAGAUAUGGAGGAACACCAGUGGCGAAGGCGACUUUCUGGUCUGUAACUGACGCUGAUGUGCGAAAGCGUGGGGAUCAAACAGGAUUAGAUACCCUGGUAGUCCACGCCGUAAACGAUGAGUGCUAAGUGUUAGGGGGUUUCCGCCCCUUAGUGCUGCAGCUAACGCAUUAAGCACUCCGCCUGGGGAGUACGACCGCAAGGUUGAAACUCAAAGGAAUUGACGGGGACCCGCACAAGCGGUGGAGCAUGUGGUUUAAUUCGAAGCAACGCGAAGAACCUUACCAAAUCUUGACAUCCUUUGACAACUCUAGAGAUAGAGCCUUCCCCUUCGGGGGACAAAGUGACAGGUGGUGCAUGGUUGUCGUCAGCUCGUGUCGUGAGAUGUUGGGUUAAGUCCCGCAACGAGCGCAACCCUUAAGCUUAGUUGCCAUCAUUAAGUUGGGCACUCUAAGUUGACUGCCGGUGACAAACCGGAGGAAGGUGGGGAUGACGUCAAAUCAUCAUGCCCCUUAUGAUUUGGGCUACACACGUGCUACAAUGGACAAUACAAAGGGCAGCGAAACCGCGAGGUCAAGCAAAUCCCAUAAAGUUGUUCUCAGUUCGGAUUGUAGUCUGCAACUCGACUACAUGAAGCUGGAAUCGCUAGUAAUCGUAGAUCAGCAUGCUACGGUGAAUACGUUCCCGGGUCU
RNAcentral lists this ribosomal RNA (1372 nucleotides) under uncultured bacterium. RNAcentral's name for it is "bacterial SSU rRNA". It matches the Rfam family "Bacterial small subunit ribosomal RNA", at positions 28 to 1381 of the family's 1533-position model. The record is from RNAcentral.